UUUCCAACUUAUAUACGAUUUGUUAAAAAAAAAAAACUAUACUACUGUAUUUUCUAAGAUAGACUUAUAUGUAAAUCUAUGAUGAGCAUAAGACUCUAUAAGAGGAAACAAACGAGCAUACGAUUACUUGGACUUCUUAGGAUAAUGAGAUAUGUUAAUGAGUGGGAAUGUCAUUUUUAACCUAAUUGAUAAACAAAACUAUAACAUCAGAAAGGAGUAAAGGACAGAUGGUAAUCAGUGAUGCAUCUUCUCUUUAAAUUGGCCUAAAAAAAUAAAAAUGAACCGUGUUCCAUUAUAAAGGAUGAACACGACGUGCCACAUCAUUAUACCCGCUCCUCUAAACUUUGAAUCAAAGACGUUUCGCGAACCACCGUGACAUACCAACACACAUAUCAGACAA
Molecule: long non-coding RNA, 400 nt
Filed under: Brassica napus (rape)
Lineage: Eukaryota; Viridiplantae; Streptophyta; Magnoliopsida; Brassicales; Brassicaceae
Description: long non-coding RNA (BNAP_LNC006428)
Source: RNAcentral